UACAGGGGGUGCAAACGUUGCUCGGAAUCAUUGGGCGUAAAGCGCACGUAGGCGGUUCGUUAUGUCGGAUGUGAAAGCCCUUGGCUUAACCGAGGAAGUGCAUCCGAAACUGGCGAGCUAGAGUACGAAAGAGGAUCGCGGAAUUCCCGGUGUAGAGGUGAAAUUCGUAGAUAUCGGGAGGAACACCGGUGGCGAAGGCGGCGACCUGGGUGGAUACUGACGCUGAGGUGCGAAAGCGUGGGGAGCAAACAGG
This 253-nucleotide ribosomal RNA is filed under the name uncultured bacterium. Its description in RNAcentral is "partial 16S ribosomal RNA". It matches the Rfam family "Bacterial small subunit ribosomal RNA", at positions 524 to 776 of the family's 1533-position model. The record is from RNAcentral.